This 2337-nucleotide long non-coding RNA is filed under the name Homo sapiens (human). Its description in RNAcentral is "non-protein coding lnc-SLC22A25-1:1". The record is from RNAcentral. Lineage: Eukaryota; Metazoa; Chordata; Mammalia; Primates; Hominidae.
CUAAAACUUAAAGUAUAAUAAAAUAAAUAAAUAAAAAAAUAACAAUAAAAAAGAAAAAAGAACAGAAGAGGAAAAAAAAUUCAUGUACACUGAAUACAACUUUGCAAUAAAAUUACCAAAAACAAAAAAGGAAAAGGAAACAAAAUGCCACCCCCUGAUGUUCAGCCAUCUGUCUUUGCACCCGCAAUAACUUUACUUUCCAUGUCCAAAGAAGUAUAAAGAUGUAAAAUUAGGUAUUUAAAGAAAUAAAAUGAAGAUCCUCUGUGUCAUCAGAAUGGUAACAGAUCUUUGUUUUUAGGCUUUUCUGAGGAAUGUUGUGAUGGGGAUGUCAGCAGAAAGAGGUGUCUCUUGUGUCCUGGUAGGAACACCAGAAAUGUGUACCCAAGAAUGUCAGAUACCAGAGGUGAAGAGUAACCCAGAUGGAGGCAGGGAGGGAGGGGGCAAGAGAGAAGAGGGGAGGAGUAUUCAGCAUGACUUGCAUAAACCAUGCCAUCUAUUGCUAGGGAAAAAUUUUUCAAAGUGCUUUUCGAAUGGAAUGGUUUAGAACAAUGCUAACCUGUGGAGCAGACAUGCCAAUCAGCACCAAAAAUUAGUUUUUCCUAAGAAGGAAUGCCAAGGUCACGUUACCCUUUUUAAUACAAUAAGAGAAAAGAUUCCAUUCUGGAUGCCACCCCAGGUCUCCAUCUGCCUCCAUUUCAUGUGAGUUUUGGUUACAGCCCAUAGCUACAUUUCCCCCAUUAGAUAGCAAUACUGUGGUGUCCGCAAUGAACUGCAUUUGGAAGAAGCAAGAUGUCACAGGACAAGAAAUCCAGAAGCCAAUCACCUGUGUCCAACUGGCAAAAUAAAACAUCUUAUUUAGGUAGCAGCUAAUGUAGACAGCAAGAGUACCCAACAUAGAGAUCCAACCACACUUCUGACUUAGUAACAGGUGGCUGAGAGUAAAGGUGCUUCUCCGUCCCAAAUGGUUCAAUCAUGUUGAGAGAUUGUUUUGUACUCCUUCCCCAUCAAGUCCUUCCUUAUUUCCAAUUCCUUCUUGAGUUCAUUGCUUUAUAAUCUAAUCAUGCCAUAAAUGGCAUACACAGUUCCUUGAAAUUAUACUACAAGGGGGUGUAUGUGCUAGCUCACAACAUGAAAAAAAAAAGUCUCCUCUAAUUUGUUUCCAUAUUGCAGACAUACAUAUUCUCUAACUACCCUGCAGGUUUUCCUGCAAGCAUUUUACCAUUACUUUUACAUAAUCAAACAAUAACUGUUCGAAUAUACGAGGGAUUCCCUUAUGCUGUACUUCAAAUAAGCACCAAAGGCUUUUUCUUAUUCUGUUUUUAUAGGACUAUUUUCUGUCACUUCUAAAAGAUCUUUAAACACGAACUAUGUGGGGGCAGAGGUUUUUUUUUUUAAGUUUCGCCCUAAGAUACAAAGAACAAAACAUAACCAGAAAGAAGGAGACAGCAGAUUAUGAAUGCGCCUCUCAGCUGGACUGCCAUCCUCACAGGUCGAUAUCUCACAGGUCUAUAGGGGUGCUGGCUUGGCCCAGUUCAUCCUCUGACUUGGAUCUGUCCUGCUGGUCCUGAUGGCACUGCUGCAGGCUGUUGAGGAAGACCACCUCAAUAUGCUCCCGGUUGGCUUUUGAGACAAUCCACAUCUGUGUUGGUGAUCUUUGCCAGCAGCUCAGUCAGGGCAUUGCAAGGGAGUGAGCUCACUUCCUCAUGUUGCUGAAGUCCACAGAUAGCUGCUCCUACACUUCCAGUUGCAACCAUUGAUGGCGGGUACAUUGCAUACAGAGCAUUGAAGUUCUGGACUUGCUUGCAGAUUGGAGACAGCUUCUCCCGCUGCUGGGGCAGCUUGUGCAAGAUGUACUAAAUGAAGUCAUGAGGCGUGACAGCUGCCAGGUUCCACUUCAACUUUCCCAACACCACCAGUUCCCACUCCAGCAGCUCCUGAGGCUUGAUGGAGUUGUCGGUAUAAAUGCACAGCUUUUUGGCAGUCAGUGGGCUGGACUCUUUGAGCCUGGAGGCCAGGAACAUGCAGACAGCACCCAGGAGUUGCAGAUGGGACUUUGAAGUUGGGAUCCUGGCGAAGAAACAGUCCAGGUGCACAUCAUAGACAAUGUCAUCGUCUUGGACGAAGAAACUGUGAUCCUCAGCCAAGAUGCCCUCCUGAGAAUCUCUAUCUCACUGGACUCAAACCUGAGGCCACAGAAACGUUGUCACUUCAUCCAUCCCCAGUGGCAGCUCCUUCACCUGAAUGGGACAUUCCUCAAUAUGAAUGAACCAGACAUGGAACCGUGUGUGGACAGCAGGGUGUACAACAGAAGCUCCUUCCUCUCCACCAUCGUGACUG